GCGGGGGUGCCCGAGCCAGGUCAAAGGGGGUGGACUGAGGCUCCACUGGCGUAGGCCUGCGUGGGUUCAAAUCCCACCCCCCGCACCA
Molecule: transfer RNA, 88 nt
Filed under: Thermoprotei archaeon
Lineage: Archaea; Thermoproteati; Thermoproteota; Thermoprotei
Description: tRNA-Leu
Rfam family: tRNA
About the family: Transfer RNA (tRNA) molecules are approximately 80 nucleotides in length.
Source: RNAcentral